AACGAACGCUGGCGGCAUGCCUAAUACAUGCAAGUCGAACGAUCACUUCGGUGGUAGUGGCGCACGGGUGCGUAACGCGUGGGAAUCUGCCCUUGGGUUCGGAAUAACAGUUGGAAACGACUGCUAAUACCGGAUGAUGACGUAAGUCCAAAGAUUUAUCGCCCAAGGAUGAGCCCGCGUAGGAUUAGCUAGUUGGUGAGGUAAAGGCUCACCAAGGCUACGAUCCUUAGCUGGUCUGAGAGGAUGAUCAGCCACACUGGGACUGAGACACGGCCCAGACUCCUACGGGAGGCAGCAGUAGGGAAUAUUGGACAAUGGGGGCAACCCUGAUCCAGCAAUGCCGCGUGAGUGAUGAAGGCCUUAGGGUUGUAAAGCUCUUUUACCCGAGAUGAUAAUGACAGUAUCGGGAGAAUAAGCUCCGGCUAACUCCGUG
This 433-nucleotide ribosomal RNA is filed under the name uncultured bacterium. RNAcentral describes it as "bacterial SSU rRNA". It matches the Rfam family "Bacterial small subunit ribosomal RNA", at positions 29 to 507 of the family's 1533-position model. The record is from RNAcentral.